Molecule: unclassified non-coding RNA, 236 nt
Filed under: rhizosphere metagenome
Description: partial ribosomal RNA internal transcribed spacer region
Source: RNAcentral
GAGAUCAGGACCCGCUCACCCGGGUCCGACCUCCCAACCCCUUGUUUAAUUAUACCAAUUGUUGCUUCGGCGGGACGGUCUUCCCAGACCGCCGGAGGGUGCACACCGCCCCUCUGGAGAGUUUUUGCCCGCCGACGGCCCCCUUCAAAAAAUCUUGAACCCAACCGUGACGCCUAAAUCGAUUUAUUGUAUAAUGUACAAAAAACAAAACUUUCAACAACGGAUCUCUUGGUUCU